AAACCCAAACCCUAGGCAGGGGAUCACUCGGCUCGUGGAUCGAUGAAGACCGCAGCUAAAUGCGCGUCAGAAUGUGAACUGCAGGACACAUGAACACCGACACGUUGAACGCAUAUUGCACAUCGUACCUCCAGUACGAUGUACACAUUUUUGAGUGCCUAU
This 162-nucleotide ribosomal RNA is filed under the name Aedes albopictus (Asian tiger mosquito). RNAcentral's name for it is "5.8S rRNA". It matches the Rfam family "5.8S ribosomal RNA". From Rfam's summary of the family: 5.8S ribosomal RNA (5.8S rRNA) is a component of the large subunit of the eukaryotic ribosome. Lineage: Eukaryota; Metazoa; Arthropoda; Insecta; Diptera; Culicidae. The record is from RNAcentral.